This is a non-coding RNA of Podarcis lilfordi (Lilford's wall lizard), 571 nucleotides long. The record is from the annotation of a GenBank genome assembly. Lineage: Eukaryota; Metazoa; Chordata; Lepidosauria; Squamata; Lacertidae.
GCGCAUGCACGUGACAUCAUUUUGCGCUUUUGUGCAUGUGUGAGCGGCGAAACCCGGAAGUAACCCUUUCCGGUACUUCUGCGUUGCUGCGGGACGUGACCUGAAAGGACGUAACAUGAAGCGGACGUAACAUGAGGUAUGACUGUAUGCCAGUUUCAGUCUUUCCAGUGACAUCCUUCCCUCCUAAACAAACAAACAAACAAACAUUUUAACUUCUAUAAGCCUGAACUGGUUCUUGAAAUUUGCAGCAAUUAGACUUGAAACAUUGCCUGCUUCCCUUCCCACUCCUGUGGGGUUUUUCUUUUUUUCUUUCUUAACAGGAACACAGAAGCCAAGCGUUAGUUUAGGAUGCGAAGGUGUUGAAGGCUUAAACAGCAGCCACCCACCAAAUCUCGAGAAUUAGGAAACGGAAUUUGCAGCGCCGCACAGGAAGUCAAAGAUCUCCCCCUUGAAACCUCUCCAACUGAUGUUUCUCCCUAGUCGGGUCCCUUCCUUUUCGUAAUCCAAAGGGAUAACCCUGCUGGCACCAUUUAUAUCAGGGGGAGGGGAAAAAACAAAAGAGCCCCAUAGC